This 206-nucleotide ribosomal RNA is filed under the name uncultured Pseudomonas sp. RNAcentral's name for it is "partial 16S ribosomal RNA". It matches the Rfam family "Bacterial small subunit ribosomal RNA", at positions 327 to 525 of the family's 1533-position model. The record is from RNAcentral. Lineage: Bacteria; Pseudomonadati; Pseudomonadota; Gammaproteobacteria; Pseudomonadales; Pseudomonadaceae.
GGUCGACGAUUCCUACGGGAGGCAGCAGUGGGGAAUAUUGGACAAUGGGCGAAAGCCUGAUCCAGCCAUGCCGCGUGUGUGAAGAAGGUCUUCGGAUUGUAAAGCACUUUAAGUUGGGAGGAAGGGUUGUAGAUUAAUACUCUGCAAUUUUGACGUUACCGACAGAAUAAGCACCGGCUAACUCUGUGCCAGCAGCCGCGGUAAUA